GCCAGGCACGGUGGCUCGUGCCUGUAAUCCCAGCACUUUGGGAGGCUGAGGCAGGUGGAUCACCUGAGGUCAGGAGUUCAAGACCAGCCUGACCAACAUGGUGAAACCCCGUCUCUA
This is an unclassified non-coding RNA of Pongo abelii (Sumatran orangutan), 117 nucleotides long. It matches the Rfam family "Metazoan signal recognition particle RNA". Rfam says of the family: The signal recognition particle (SRP) is a universally conserved ribonucleoprotein. The record is from Ensembl. NCBI's taxonomy places the organism in Eukaryota, Metazoa, Chordata, Mammalia, Primates, Hominidae.